AAGUGAUGAUGAUAUGGGUUUCAGCCUCUUCGAUUAGAUCGUUUCUCUGCUUUUAUUUCUUUAUAGUUUGAUGUUAGGUACUGUUUUCUUGGGAAUCGAAAAGACUUGUUGAUUUAGUCACAUUAUCUUAUGUUUUGAAAGGUGAAUUGUUGAAUUGUUUUUAUUUGAGGUUUUGUUCUAUCAAUAUUAGGAACUGCGUUGGAG
RNAcentral lists this unclassified non-coding RNA (204 nucleotides) under Hevea brasiliensis (rubber tree). The record is from RNAcentral. Lineage: Eukaryota; Viridiplantae; Streptophyta; Magnoliopsida; Malpighiales; Euphorbiaceae.